RNAcentral lists this ribosomal RNA (214 nucleotides) under Candidatus Bathyarchaeota archaeon. Its description in RNAcentral is "partial 23S ribosomal RNA". It matches the Rfam family "Archaeal large subunit ribosomal RNA", at positions 2676 to 2889 of the family's 2987-position model. The record is from RNAcentral. Lineage: Archaea; Thermoproteati; Candidatus Bathyarchaeota.
GGGUUUAGACCGUCGUGAGACAGGUCGGACUUUAUCUGCUGGGGGUGCUGGCUGCCUGAGGGGAAAGGGUCCCUAGUACGAGAGGAACGGGACGCUGUGGCCUCUAGUUCACCGGUUGUCCGACAGGGCACUGCCGGGCAGCCACGCCGCCGGGGAUAAGGGCUGAAAGCAUCUAAGCCCGAAGCCCCUCCCGAAAAUAGGCAGCCACUCCCCG